This 528-nucleotide ribosomal RNA is filed under the name Lactarius sp. GAL142891. RNAcentral's name for it is "eukaryotic LSU rRNA". The stretch from base 106 to 259 matches the Rfam family "5.8S ribosomal RNA". The record is from RNAcentral. Lineage: Eukaryota; Fungi; Basidiomycota; Agaricomycetes; Russulales; Russulaceae.
GGCACCCCUUUGGGAUCAUCUCGGAGNGGGCUCGCGUUUUCACACAAAACCCCCCUUUUAAAAGUGUAGAAUGACCUCAUUUAUGCGCUAACCCGCAAUCAAUACAACUUUCAACAACGGAUCUCUUGGCUCUCGCAUCGAUGAAGAACGCAGCGAAAUGCGAUACGUAAUGUGAAUUGCAGAAUUCAGUGAAUCAUCGAAUCUUUGAACGCACCUUGCGCCCCCUGGUAUUCCGAGGGGCACACCCGUUUGAGUGUCGUGAAAACCUCAACCUCCUUGGUUUCUUCUGGAGACCAAAGCAGGCUUGGACUUUGGAGGCCUUUGCUGGCACCUCUCGCCAGCUCCUCUUAAAUGAAUUAGCAGGGUCCUCUUUGCUGAUCCUCGACGUGUGAUAAGAUGUUUCCAUGUCUUGGUUUCUGGCUCUGUCACCUUUGGGACCCGCUUCUAACCGUCUUCAACCUUGCGUUGAGACAACGUUCGAGCAUGUCUCCCUUCUCGGGAAGCUCCCUCGACCCCACGAACCCUNGA